UUUCCGUAGGUGAACCUGCGGAAGGAUCAUUACUAGAGCAAAGGAUAGACAGCACCCCACAGAAGCUUGCUUCGUGGGGGCUACCCUACUUCGGUAGGGUUUAGAGUCGUCGGGCCUCUCGGAGAAGCUCGGUCCUGAACUCCACCCUUGAAUAAAUUACCUUUGUUGCUUUGGCGGGCCGCCUCGUGCCAGCGGCUUCGGCUGUUGAGUGCCCGCCAGAGGACCACAACUCUUGUUUUUAGUGAUGUCUGAGUACUAUAUAAUAGUUAAAACUUUCAACAACGGAUCUCUUGGUUCUG
Molecule: unclassified non-coding RNA, 299 nt
Filed under: root metagenome
Description: partial contains small subunit ribosomal RNA, internal transcribed spacer 1, and 5.8S ribosomal RNA
Source: RNAcentral